GUCACAUGGUGGGCGCUGUGGCUGUGGCUGCGGCUGCGGCUGCGGCUGCGGCUGCAGCGGCCCCAGGUGCAAACAGACUGCCGCCGAAUGUGAGCAGCGAGGCGAGGGGUCGAGGUAGCGAGGAGUCAGGGUGGCCCGCAGUAGGAAGGCAGAAGGCGUGGAGACAGACUGGCGUUUUGCCUCAGAGGAAGAAGUGGGGUCCCCUCUCCCAUUCUGUGAGCAAGUGCCAGUUCCAGUGAUUCGUACUUUCAUGUCCGAGUUGGAAACCUUGGCCCGACGGUGUUGGACUGCACGACUUGCUGGACUCCCAAGUCCGAAGUUCCUGCGGCAGCGCUUGCUUUGUGGCGCCACCUGGAACGUAGAGAACGGUGGGGGUAAAUAAGGGGAGCCUGAAGUUUCUGCUGUGUGCUUGCGUGUUCGAAUCCCAUCGCUGAGACUUUCUUCUGCUUUGGAUCGCUUGUCCCAGGCUGACGCCGCGCUGCGACGUCUCCCCUCGUAGGAGCCUAACGCCAACCCCUGCGCCAGGCAGGGAUGGAAUCAUCAUUCUCAUUGUAUAGAUGGACACUGAGGCUCGAGAACGGAAACGACUUCUUUUGAGUUGGGUGCCCCUCCCCCCUUGCCAGGCAGCCGCCUUUCUCUGUUGCCAUAGCACAAAUCACAAGGGUAUUUAUGGUAAGCUUUAGUUGAACAGCUCCAGGUCUCCAGAAGACGGCGAACUGGAGAGGACAGAUCUGCGCUUUGCUCUCAGACCCUUGCCCCACCGCUAGCCUGGGGCAGGAUUCCAGCCUUCGCCUAGCCGGGCGCUUUGCUCUGCCGGGCUAUUGGGCGUCCUCCGCUGCACAGAAAGCCAGCCCAGUUGGGUAUUACUGGGGAGAGGAUGCCUCCUGCCGGCAGGGAGCUGGGGUGGGCGCCCGGGUGCCCCCAGUGCGUGGCGGGGCCAGGCCCAUUUUCACUCUCCUUCCUCACUCGGGGGAUGGGAGGGCUGCAUGCGCUGCUGCUCCUACUCCUCACAGUCUCGUCGAGGGUCCCGGAGACGGGAGUUUCCGGGCCGCUGGUCCAAGAGGCAAUGCCAGUUUCGGUACCUUUGUGUUUUCGUCCCCUAAGUAGUAGCUCUAGGAACCUGAGCUUUCGAAUCCCUUUGGGGUUUGUCCUAAAACUCAAAGACGUUGGAAGAGGGCGGGCAUUUGGUUAUGAGAACCUCCCAGCUCAGCCUUUGCGACCAAACCGGCAGUGCUUUUGUUCUUACUUCAUUGGCUAAUUGCAGCUUCUUGAGACAACUCUGGCUGGGUCCUUUCGCAUUGCUGGUCUCCUCAACCUGAUUUUCCCUGCGACCCCUAAGGCAGCCUCGAGGGACUCCGGGAGCCAUCAGCUCUCCGCAGCCCCUUGGGCCGGCAGGCAGACGCGACCCCUGACUCGGGAUCUGCGUCCUGGGAUUUCACAUUUUUUCUUUUCCUGCAUGGACCUGGCUAGAGGACACAAUGGGAUCACUCUUGGGGAGCUAAAACUCGGCCUGUGCAGGGAAUGGGUGGGUCCUCUGGUCUCUGCUGCCACGGCUUCCCAGCUCAGAGGUUGUCUCGGGUUUCUACCAUUUUAAAAAUUAUUAUUAUUAUUA
Molecule: long non-coding RNA, 1612 nt
Organism: Gorilla gorilla gorilla (western lowland gorilla)
Lineage: Eukaryota; Metazoa; Chordata; Mammalia; Primates; Hominidae
Exons: 3
Source: RefSeq, a predicted model, not a curated record